Molecule: ribosomal RNA, 253 nt
Filed under: uncultured bacterium
Lineage: Bacteria
Description: partial 16S ribosomal RNA
Rfam family: Bacterial small subunit ribosomal RNA
Source: RNAcentral
UACGGAGGGUGCAAGCGUUAUCCGGAUUCACUGGGUUUAAAGGGUGUGUAGGCGGGCAUUUAAGUCAGUGGUGAAAUCUCCGAGCUCAGCUCGGAAACUGCCAUUGAUACUAUUUGUCUUGAAUAUCGUUGAGGUUGGCGGAAUAUAUCAUGUAGCGGUGAAAUGCUUAGAUAUGAUAUAGAACACCGAUUGCGAAGGCAGCUAACUAAGCGAUGAUUGACGCUGAGGCACGAAAGCGUAGGGAUCAAACAGG